RNAcentral lists this ribosomal RNA (1232 nucleotides) under metagenome. RNAcentral's name for it is "bacterial SSU rRNA". It matches the Rfam family "Bacterial small subunit ribosomal RNA", at positions 8 to 1231 of the family's 1533-position model. The record is from RNAcentral.
AGAGUUUGAUCCUGGCUCAGGAUGAACGCUAGCUACAGGCUUAACACAUGCAAGUCGAGGGGAAACGAUAUUGGAAGCUUGCUUCCGAUAGGCGUCGACCGGCGCACGGGUGAGUAACGCGUAUCCAACCUGCCCAUCACUUGGGGAUAACCUUGCGAAAGUAAGACUAAUACCCAAUGACGUCUCUAGAAGACAUCUGAAGGAGAUUAAAGAUUUAUCGGUGAUGGAUGGGGAUGCGUCUGAUUAGCUUGUUGGCGGGGUAACGGCCCACCAAGGCAACGAUCAGUAGGGGUUCUGAGAGGAAGGUCCCCCACAUUGGAACUGAGACACGGUCCAAACUCCUACGGGAGGCAGCAGUGAGGAAUAUUGGUCAAUGGGCGAGAGCCUGAACCAGCCAAGUAGCGUGCAGGAAGACGGCCCUAUGGGUUGUAAACUGCUUUUAUAAGGGAAUAAAGUGAGUCUCGUCAGACUUUUUGCAUGUACCUUAUGAAUAAGGACCGGCUAAUUCCGUGCCAGCAGCCGCGGUAAUACGGAAGGUCCGGGCGUUAUCCGGAUUUAUUGGGUUUAAAGGGAGCGUAGGCCGGAGAUUAAGCGUGUUGUGAAAUGUAGACGCUCAACGUCUGCACUGCAGCGCGAACUGGUUUCCUUGAGUACGCACAAAGUGGGCGGAAUUCGUGGUGUAGCGGUGAAAUGCUUAGAUAUCACGAAGAACUCCGAUUGCGAAGGCAGCUCACUGGAGCGCAACUGACGCUGAAGCUCGAAAGUGCGGGUAUCGAACAGGAUUAGAUACCCUGGUAGUCCGCACGGUAAACGAUGGAUGCCCGCUGUUGGUCUGAACAGGUCAGCGGCCAAGCGAAAGCAUUAAGCAUCCCACCUGGGGAGUACGCCGGCAACGGUGAAACUCAAAGGAAUUGACGGGGGCCCGCACAAGCGGAGGAACAUGUGGUUUAAUUCGAUGAUACGCGAGGAACCUUACCCGGGCUUGAAUUGCAGAGGAAGGAUUUGGAGACAAUGACGCCCUUCGGGGUCUCUGUGAAGGUGCUGCAUGGUUGUCGUCAGCUCGUGCCGUGAGGUGUCGGCUUAAGUGCCAUAACGAGCGCAACCCCUCUCCUUAGUUGCCAUCAGGUUAAGCUGGGCACUCUGGGGACACUGCCACCGUAAGGUGUGAGGAAGGUGGGGAUGACGUCAAAUCAGCACGGCCCUUACGUCCGGGGCUACACACGUGUUACAAU